Molecule: ribosomal RNA, 253 nt
Filed under: uncultured bacterium
Lineage: Bacteria
Description: partial 16S ribosomal RNA
Rfam family: Bacterial small subunit ribosomal RNA
Source: RNAcentral
CACGUAGGGCGCAAGCGUUGUCCGGAAUUAUUGGGCGUAAAGAGCUCGUAGGCGGUCUGUUGCGUCCGCUGUGAAAACUCGGGGCUUAACCCCGAGCCUGCAGUGGAUACGGGCAGACUAGAGGUAGGUAGGGGAGAAUGGAAUUCCCGGUGUAGCGGUGAAAUGCGCAGAUAUCAGGAGGAACACCUGCGGUGUAGACGGCUUUCUGGACCAUUGUUGACGCUGAGACACGAAAGCGUGGGUAGCAAACAGG